CGUGGAGACAGGUGGUGUAUGGUUGUCGUCAGCUCGUGUCGUGAGAUGUUGGGUUAAGUCCCGCAACGAGCGCAACCCUCACCCCUGGUUGCCACCGGGUAAAGCCGAGCACUCGAGGGGAACUGCCAGCGUCAAGCUGGAGGAAAGGCGGGGAUGACGUCAAGUCAUCAUGCCCCUUACGCCCUGGGCUACACACGUGCUACAAUGGCCGGUACAAAGGGACGCGAGACCGCGAGGUGGAGCUAAUCCCAAAAAACCGGUCUAAGUUCAGAUUGCAGUCUGCAACUCGACUGCAUGAAGGAGGAAUCGCUAGUAAUCGCGCAUCAGCACGGCGCGGUGAAUACGUUCCCGGGCCUUGUACACACCGCCCGUCACACCACGAAAGCUGUCUGUACUCGAAGUCGCUGAG
This 409-nucleotide ribosomal RNA is filed under the name uncultured Methylomirabilota bacterium. RNAcentral describes it as "bacterial SSU rRNA". It matches the Rfam family "Bacterial small subunit ribosomal RNA", at positions 1027 to 1434 of the family's 1533-position model. Lineage: Bacteria; Methylomirabilota (SeqCode). The record is from RNAcentral.